UACAGAGGUCUCAAGCGUUGUUCGGAUUCAUUGGGCGUAAAGGGUGCGUAGGCGGCGCGGUAAGUCGGGUGUGAAAUCUUGGAGCUUAACUCCGAAACUGCAUUCGAUACUGCCGUGCUUGAGGACUGGAGAGGAGACUGGAAUUUACGGUGUAGCGGUGAAAUGCGUAGAUAUCGUAAGGAAGACCAGUGGCGAAGGCGGGUCUCUGGACAGUUCCUGACGCUGAUGCGCGACAGCGUGGGGAGCAAACAGG
This 253-nucleotide ribosomal RNA is filed under the name uncultured bacterium. RNAcentral's name for it is "partial 16S ribosomal RNA". It matches the Rfam family "Bacterial small subunit ribosomal RNA", at positions 524 to 776 of the family's 1533-position model. The record is from RNAcentral.